ACCCAGACUCCUACGGGAGGCAGCAGUGGGGAAUAUUGCACAAUGGGGGAAACCCUGAUGCAGCGACGCCGCGUGAGCGAUGAAGUAUUUCGGUAUGUAAAGCUCUAUCAGCAGGGAAGAAGAUGACGGUACCUGACUAAGAAGCCCCGGCUAACUACGUGCCAGCAGCCGCGGUAAUACGUAGGGGGCAAGCGUUAUCCGGAUUUACUGGGUGUAAAGGGAGCGUAGACGGCGAUGCAAGCCAGAUGUGAAAGCCCGGGGCUCAACCCCGGGACUGCAUUUGGAACUGUGUGGCUGGAGUGUCGGAGAGGCAGGCGGAAUUCCUAGUGUAGCGGUGAAAUGCGUAGAUAUUAGGAGGAACACCAGUGGCGAAGGCGGCCUGCUGGACGAUGACUGACGUUGAGGCUCGAAAGCGUGGGGAGCAAACAGGAUUAGAUACCCUGGUAA
RNAcentral lists this ribosomal RNA (447 nucleotides) under uncultured bacterium. RNAcentral's name for it is "bacterial SSU rRNA". It matches the Rfam family "Bacterial small subunit ribosomal RNA", at positions 329 to 793 of the family's 1533-position model. The record is from RNAcentral.